RNAcentral lists this long non-coding RNA (231 nucleotides) under Malus domestica (apple). Its description in RNAcentral is "long non-coding RNA (MDOM_LNC006085)". Lineage: Eukaryota; Viridiplantae; Streptophyta; Magnoliopsida; Rosales; Rosaceae. The record is from RNAcentral.
UUCACCAAUCUACUAGGCUUUGAAUUUCAUGGUUAAUGUUUUGUUUUUAAGUGCAUACAAGCAUGAUUCCGUCUUUUAAUUGUUAAUUGCAUGCUAUAGAUGUUGCUUAAAUGAACAUGUUUUUUACAAAAUUUCCUUCAUAAACACCCUAACAGAACGACGACCCUAGCUUGUAUAUUGAAAUUGGUAUGCCAACUUGAACAGGGAGUUGUGUAUUCCAAACCCGAACAG